RNAcentral lists this ribosomal RNA (393 nucleotides) under uncultured bacterium. Its description in RNAcentral is "partial 16S ribosomal RNA". It matches the Rfam family "Bacterial small subunit ribosomal RNA", at positions 523 to 918 of the family's 1533-position model. The record is from RNAcentral.
AUACGGAGGAUGCAAGCGUUAUCCGGAUUUAUUGGGUUUAAAGGGUGCGUAGGCGGGACUGUAAGUCAGGGGUGAAAUACUGCAGCUUAACUGUAGCAUUGCCUUUGAAACUGCCGUUCUUGAGUACAGUUGAGGUAGGCGGAAUGUGGUGUGUAGCGGUGAAAUGCGUAGAUAUACCACAGAACGCCGAUUGCGAAGGCAGCUUACUAAGCUGUUACUGACGCUGAGGCACGAAAGCGUGGGGAUCAAACAGGAUUAGAUACCCUGGUAGUCCACGCUGUAAACGAUGAUUACUGGUUGUUAGCGAUAUAUAGCUAGUGACUGAGCGAAAGCAUUAAGUAAUCCACCUGGGGAGUACGUCGGCAACGAUGAAACUCAAAGGAAUUGACGGGG